Long non-coding RNA from Cebus imitator (Panamanian white-faced capuchin), 896 nucleotides. RefSeq lists it as uncharacterized. NCBI's taxonomy places the organism in Eukaryota, Metazoa, Chordata, Mammalia, Primates, Cebidae. The record is from RefSeq and is a predicted model, not a curated record. The transcript is spliced from 2 exons.
AGAGAAAGAAGUCCAAAUCCUCUGGACCGGAAGGACAGUGGGAUUGCAUUUCAAGCUGCGAUACAAUCCAGAGAUUAGCUGCUGUCUUCUUUUCAGCCAGUCCCCCUGGGGCCCAGCUCACUACCCUACUCUUCCUCCAGCGACCCUCCUACCCCGACAGACCCCAGCACGGGGGCCUGCGUCUUCCGAGAGACCUUGAGGUGAGCUGCCCUGGCAGCCUCAUCAGAUCUCACUGCAUGGUGAGGAGGGAGAGUGUCCUCGCCUAGCCCUGCGAAGGCGAUCCAUCUGGACACCUACACCUGCCAGUAAGACCACUGAAGAUAGUUCUAAGAGGAAACAGCUAAGGAGGGUGUCUCGAGGCCCCUUCUGAGGAAAACCAGAAGAGGACAGGAGCGGGCCGCCGGAGGCAGGGCUUCUCCUCGCGUCUCGGAUCCGCUCCUCUGCUGCACGCCGACGGUGCCAGGUCUCCUGGAGCGCCUCCUACCCGCCGGCCGCAGACCUCCCGCGCUGGGGCGAGAGGUGGGGCACUCUCCAUCUGCCUUUGCCUGCUCGGCCGGCCCCACGUUCGAGAGCAGGGAGAGAGAUUUCCACAGCCUGUCAUCUGCCAGGGGACGAACAGAACAGACAAGGCUGCGGGCUCCUUAAGGAACAGGACCUUGCCUCGUGGUGGAGGUACUUUGCCUUGUGAUGUUACCCCGUAACAAGGGAGGGGGGCAGAGCAAUGUACUCCAGCUUGUUUGUCCACUUCUUAGAAAGAGCACUUUUUCCUACUGUUAUCAUUGUGAACAGUGAUUGAACACCUACCAAAACUGGCAAAGAAAUGUUAAGACUCCCUGCCCUCAGGCAGUUUAUUUCAGGAGACAGAGUAGACGAAAAUAAACAGCUGACAAUUCUCA